GGGCGAAUGGUUUAGUGGUAUAAUACUCCCUUAGCAUAAUUCUGUCGAUUACUUGGGAGUGGUCCAGGGUUCGAUUCCCUGUUCGUCCA
Molecule: transfer RNA, 89 nt
Filed under: Dactylonectria estremocensis
Lineage: Eukaryota; Fungi; Ascomycota; Sordariomycetes; Hypocreales; Nectriaceae
Description: Ilyonectria sp. 3 AC-2011 tRNA
Rfam family: tRNA
About the family: Transfer RNA (tRNA) molecules are approximately 80 nucleotides in length. Their secondary structure includes four short double-helical elements and three loops (D, anti-codon, and T loops).
Source: Rfam by way of RNAcentral